GUGGUGGCUCAGUGGCAGAGUGCUUGCCUCGCAUGUGUGAGACACUGGGUUCGAUUCCCAGCACCACA
Molecule: transfer RNA, 68 nt
Filed under: Marmota marmota marmota (Alpine marmot)
Lineage: Eukaryota; Metazoa; Chordata; Mammalia; Rodentia; Sciuridae
Also listed under: 1 other name
Rfam family: tRNA
About the family: Transfer RNA (tRNA) molecules are approximately 80 nucleotides in length. Their secondary structure includes four short double-helical elements and three loops (D, anti-codon, and T loops).
Source: Rfam by way of RNAcentral